RNAcentral lists this ribosomal RNA (363 nucleotides) under uncultured eukaryote. RNAcentral's name for it is "partial 18S ribosomal RNA". It matches the Rfam family "Eukaryotic small subunit ribosomal RNA", at positions 592 to 976 of the family's 1831-position model. The record is from RNAcentral.
CAAUAGCGUAUACUAAUGUUGUUGCAGUUAAAAAGCUCGUAGUUGAACUUCUGGUAGGAGUGUCCCGGCCUUUUUGUUUUUACAAAUUGUAUGCUGUGUGACAUCUCUGGCCAUCCUUCUUCUUUGUUUAAAGAAGAUCUUUCACUGUAAAAAAAUUAGGGUGUUCAAAGCAAAAGUUUCUUUGGAAUAUAUUAGUAUGGGAUGAUAAGAUAGGCUCUAGAUGCUAUCUUGUUGGUUUGCACAUUUAGAGAAUGAUUAACAGGGACAGUUGGGGGUAUUCGUAUUUACAUGUCAGAGGUGAAAUUCUUGGAUUUUGGAAAGACGAACUACUGCGAAAGCAUUUACCAAGGAUGUUUUCAUUAA